RNAcentral lists this ribosomal RNA (254 nucleotides) under uncultured bacterium. Its description in RNAcentral is "partial 16S ribosomal RNA". It matches the Rfam family "Bacterial small subunit ribosomal RNA", at positions 524 to 776 of the family's 1533-position model. The record is from RNAcentral.
GACGUAGGGCGCGAGCGUUGUCCGGAAUUAUUGGGCGUAAAGAGCUCGUAGGCGGCUUGUCGCGUCGACUGUGAAAACCCGUGGCUCAACCAUGCGGUCUGCAGUCGAUACGGGCAGGCUAGAAUUCGGUAGGGGAGACUGGAAUUCCUGGUGUAGCGGUGAAAUGCGUAGAUAUCUGGAGGAACACCGGUGGCGAAGGCGGCGUUCUGGACUGUUUCUGACACUGAAAAACGAAAGCCAGGGGAGCAAACGGG